GACGAACGCUGGCGGCGUGCCUAACACAUGCAAGUCGAACGGGGUAGUUCCUUCGGGGACUACUUAGUGGCGAACGGGUGAGUAACGCGUGAGAAACCUGCCUUUCAGUGGGGGACAACAGUUGGAAACGACUGCUAAUACCGCAUAAUGUUUCGAGAGGGCAUCCUUUUGAAACCAAAGCUUUAUGUGCUUUGAAAGAUGGUCUCGCGUCUGAUUAGCUAGUUGGUGAGGUAACGGCUCACCAAGGCGACGAUCAGUAGCCGGCCUGAGAGGGUGAACGGCCACAUUGGGACUGAGACACGGCCCAAACUCCUACGGGAGGCAGCAGUGGGGAAUAUUGCACAAUGGGGGAAACCCUGAUGCAGCGACGCCGCGUGAACGAUGAAGUAUUUCGGUAUGUAAAGUUCUAUCAGCAGGGAAGAUAAUGACGGUACCUGACUAAGAAGCACCGGCUAAAUACGUG
RNAcentral lists this ribosomal RNA (463 nucleotides) under uncultured bacterium. Its description in RNAcentral is "bacterial SSU rRNA". It matches the Rfam family "Bacterial small subunit ribosomal RNA", at positions 28 to 507 of the family's 1533-position model. The record is from RNAcentral.